RNAcentral lists this small nuclear RNA (162 nucleotides) under Haemaphysalis longicornis (longhorned tick). Its description in RNAcentral is "U1 spliceosomal RNA". It matches the Rfam family "U1 spliceosomal RNA". Rfam says of the family: U1 is a small nuclear RNA (snRNA) component of the spliceosome (involved in pre-mRNA splicing). Its 5' end forms complementary base pairs with the 5' splice junction, thus defining the 5' donor site of an intron. Lineage: Eukaryota; Metazoa; Arthropoda; Arachnida; Ixodida; Ixodidae. The record is from Rfam by way of RNAcentral.
AUACUUACCUGCUGCCGGGCUGUUCGGUGGUCAAUAUGGCCGGCGCCCAAGUGGAGGCUGGUGAUUGCGCUGCUGAUCGGCUGAAGCUUGCCCCUACUCGGAACUGGGAUAGGCGGGCAUGUAAUUUUUGGUAGUGGGGUCAGACGUUCGCGCCGAUCCUCC